RNAcentral lists this long non-coding RNA (1669 nucleotides) under Coffea arabica (coffee). RNAcentral describes it as "long non-coding RNA (CARA_LNC005417)". Lineage: Eukaryota; Viridiplantae; Streptophyta; Magnoliopsida; Gentianales; Rubiaceae. The record is from RNAcentral.
AGGGGGAGAAAUUAAUAUACAAGAAUAGUGUACGCUUUUUCCUUCAUUAGGGUUUCUAUCCCAUUGGAUUUUUUCCUAGUAAGGUUUUUAUGACGCAUAUUCUUUAUGUAAUAGACAUCCAAGGGGCAGUGUUAUGAAACAACUAAACGUGUGGAUGUCCAUUUGUAUUCUCAAAAGGAUUAAUUCAUAAUUCAUUGAUUCUAAGAGAAUUAAUUCAUAAUUCAUUGCUACAUUAUGUAAAGGAAUUACAUUGGAUGAACAAUUUCAAUUCAUAAGAGCUAUUUAUAUAUUGGAUGAACUGUUUCAUAUGGCUAUUCAUAUUCUUGUAGUAAUGAGAGUUUAAUAGAAAUGAUGUAUCUUUAAUUUUGUAGUACCUAUAUAUAGAGGUUCCUUGGCACCUCUUGAGAGUACUUUUGAUUAGUUGGAAUAAUAAGAAAAUCAUUUUCUAUUCCUCUACUUCUUUCUCUAAUAUUUCAAUUCCUAUUAUAGUAGUUUGUUUACCAUAAUCAAUUUUUAGAUGUCAAAACGAAAUAAUUCUAUGUAAAUUUGAUUUAAUUAAUCUAAAACAUAGCUUAGGACUUACAGGAUUGUUCUCAAGUGAUUCUAAUUUUGUAAAAGCUGAUUUUGUGAAAUUGAUUUUUAACAAAUUUUGUAGAAUAACUCCUGUGUUCUAGUUUAUAGUUAAUAAAGCUACUUUGAUAAACACUUAAGUGUUCUUGAAAAUGUUGAAAAGCUAAUCUCGACAAAAAGAUAACCAAAUUGCCAUUAUGUGAGACAUAAAUAACUUUUGUACGAUUGACAUGGAAUUUUAAUGUAAUUAAUUAUUUUUCUUAUGAAGAUUAAAUGUUGAAUAAGAAGAAGAAGGGAAAAAAGUGAAUCUAGAGGUGGAAUAAUGAGUAAGAAGAAAUGGAGAGAGAUGUGUGGCAAAAAUAUUUACUUAAUCUUUUUGUAGUUUAGUAAUUAUGUUAAAGUUUAAAGGAUUUUUUUUUGCAUGUAGAAAAAGUAGGCCAUAAUCUGAAUCUUAAAGCAAUUAAGAAUUAAGACAUGCUUUUUUUACUUUUGGGGCCCAAAAUAUCUAAAAUCGGGUUUCAAAAUCAGUUUUCAUAAAUCCAAAAUUAAAAUCAGAUUUAAAAGAUCAAUUGAGAAUGCCCUUCAUGUUUUUUAUGUUGUUUUAAUUAUUUGUGCUAUGUUAUUUUUGUUAAAUUGCAAAGUUAUUUCGUUAGAUGACAUAAUCGCGUACGAGAAUACAUGUUAAGCUAAAUACUGAGUUAACUAACCAAUUAGUUCAACUAGUGGUGACAUUUUUCUUGGUGCGGAACUUAAGGAUAGCCACUCACUUCCCAAAUCAAUAAAUGAUCCAAAGUUAUUCAUAAAACACAAUAUACAAGUAACAAUUUUGAAUUAUCAGCUAAAGUUUUGUAAAUACUAAAAACAAAUUCUCACUAUAUUUUAGUAAUUUCGAAUCACAAUGACAAUCAAAUAAAUAACAACUUAAAAGAUCACCAUUCAUUCCUUCAACUUGCUAAUCUCGAAUUUGAAUUGAAACUUAUUUAUCACAUUAUCACUUGACAAAAACUUGACCCCAUGAUUUUUCCAUUUGACAAAUGCCAGAUUUACCGAGUGCUAAUAAAUUGAUUAGCAAGGAUAAAAAAUAGAGCAUACUACUCAU